CUGGCUCAGGAUGAACGCUAGCGACAGGCCUAACACAUGCAAGUCAGGGGCAGCACAAGGAGCAAUCUGAGGUGGCGACCGGCGCACGGGUGAGUAACACGUAUGCAACCUGCCUGUAAGCGGGGAAUAACCCGUUGAAAGACGGACUAAUACCGCAUAAUACUAAAUUACUGCAUGGUAAUUUAUUUAAACAUUUAUGGCUUACAGAUGGGCAUGCGCAUGAUUAGCUAGUUGGAGAGGUAACGGCUCCCCAAGGCAACGAUCAUUAGGGGUUCUGAGAGGAAGGUCCCCCACACUAGUACUGAGACACGGACCAGACUCCUACGGGAGGCAGCAGCGAGGAAUAUUGGUCAAUGGACGAGAGUCUGAACCAGCCAAGUCGCGUGCAGGAAGAAUGUCCUAUGGAUUGUAAACUGCUUUUGCAGGGGAAUAAAGUGCAUCACGUGUGAUGUUUUGUAUGUACUCUGCGAAUAAGGAUCGGCUAACUCCGUGCCAGCCGCCGC
RNAcentral lists this ribosomal RNA (503 nucleotides) under uncultured bacterium. Its description in RNAcentral is "bacterial SSU rRNA". It matches the Rfam family "Bacterial small subunit ribosomal RNA", at positions 19 to 518 of the family's 1533-position model. The record is from RNAcentral.